AAUGAACGCUGGCGGCGUGGAUUAGGCAUGCAAGUCGAACGAGAAAGUGAAUUUAUUCGCGAGUAAAGUGGCGAACGGGUGAGUAACACGUGGGAAACCUACCCUCGAGUGGGGAAUAACAUCCCUAACGGGAUGCUAAUACCGCAUAACAUCACAGGUCGCAUGUCCUGUGAUCAAAGGUGGCCUCUACUUGUAAGCUGUCGCUUGAGGAUGGUCCCGCGUCCCAUUAGCUUGUUGGUGAGGUAACGGCUCACCAAGGCGACGAUGGGUAGCCGGCCUGAGAGGGUGACCGGCCACACUGGGACUGAGACACGGCCCAGACUCCUACGGGAGGCAGCAGUCGAGAGGCUUCGGCAAUGGGGGAAACCCUGACCGAGCGACGCCGCGUGGGUGAUGAAGUCUUUCGGGACGUAAAGCCCUGUCAUACGGGAUGAAAAGCAGAUUGGUAAAUAGCCUUUCUGUCUGACAGUACCGUAAGAGGAAGCUCCGGCUAACUCCGUGCCAGCAGCCGCGGUAAUACGGGGGGAGCAAGCGUUAUUCGGAUUUAUUGGGCGUAAAGGGUU
Molecule: ribosomal RNA, 563 nt
Filed under: uncultured bacterium
Lineage: Bacteria
Description: bacterial SSU rRNA
Rfam family: Bacterial small subunit ribosomal RNA
Source: RNAcentral